Molecule: ribosomal RNA, 523 nt
Filed under: Kodamaea ohmeri
Lineage: Eukaryota; Fungi; Ascomycota; Pichiomycetes; Serinales; Debaryomycetaceae
Description: eukaryotic LSU rRNA
Rfam family: Eukaryotic large subunit ribosomal RNA
Source: RNAcentral
AAACCAACAGGGAUUGCCUCAGUAACGGCGAGUGAAGCGGCAAAAGCUCAAAUUUGAAAUCCCCCCGGGGAGUUGUAAUUUGAAGAUUGCGUCUUGGAGGCGACCGUGUCUAUGUUCCUUGGAACAGGACGUCACAGAGGGUGAGAAUCCCGUGCGGCACGGCCCCCGGCUCCUUAUAAGGCGCUCUCGACGAGUCGAGUUGUUUGGGAAUGCAGCUCAAAGUGGGUGGUAAAUUCCAUCUAAAGCUAAAUACAGGCGAGAGACCGAUAGCGAACAAGUACAGUGAUGGAAAGAUGAAAAGCACUUUGAAAAGAGAGUGAAACAGCACGUGAAAUUGUUGAAAGGGAAGGGCAUGCCGUCAGAUUGUCAGUGUGGGUAAGAAGCGGGGUACAAAGACUGUGGAACGUGGCCCUCGGGUGUUAUAGCCGCAGUUCAUGCCCCGUCUCUUUCCGAGGCCUGCUUUGAGGACACCGACGUAAUGACGGUACGCCGCCCGUCUUGAAACACGGACCACACACGGACC